This 374-nucleotide ribosomal RNA is filed under the name Uroteuthis noctiluca. RNAcentral's name for it is "partial 12S ribosomal RNA". The record is from RNAcentral. Lineage: Eukaryota; Metazoa; Mollusca; Cephalopoda; Myopsida; Loliginidae.
UUUUNUUAUNAAAANUUUUUUAUACUUAAGUAGUAAGAGUAAUAGUAUUAAUAUUUAUAAACUUGAAACUUAAAAAGCUUGGCGGUAUCACAUAUCCUUCCAGGGGAGCUUGUUUAUUAAUUUGAUAUUCCUCAAUUUAUAUUUACUUUUUUUUGAAUAUAAGAAAAAUAUCAGUUUGUGUAUUGCUGUCGUCAGUUUAUUUUGUAAAAAUUGUUGAUAAAAAACUUCUUAAUAAUUAAAUUAUGAUGUCAAGUCAAAAUGCAGCUUAUAAAAAAGGUUUAAAAAGUGAGCUACAAUUUAUUAUAUUUAAUCCAAUUAGAUCAUGUAAUUGGUUUAUGAAGUUGGACUUGGUAGUAAUAAAAUUUAAAUUAGUA